GGCGCACGGGUGAGUACGCGUGGAUAAUCUGCCUUUCAGUUGGGAAUAACGUACCGAAAGGUGCGCUAAUACCGAAUAAUACUGAGUGACUACUGUCGCUUAGUCAAAGAAGGCCUCUGUUUACAAGCUUUUGCUGAAAGAUGAGUCCGCGUACCAUUAGCUGGUUGGUGGGGUAAUGGCCUACCAAGGCGACUGAUGGUUAGCUGGUCUGAGAGGAUGAUCAGCCUCUCUGGAACUGAGACACGGUCCAGACUCCUACGGGAAGCAGCAGUGAGGAAUAUUGCGCAAUGGGGGCAACCCUGACGCAGCAACGACGCGUGAGUGAGGAAGGUCGCCGGAUCGUAAAGCUCUGUCGAGCGGGAAGAAGUGCAUCAUGGCUAAUAUCCAUGAUGCUUGACGGU
RNAcentral lists this ribosomal RNA (401 nucleotides) under uncultured Smithella sp. RNAcentral describes it as "bacterial SSU rRNA". It matches the Rfam family "Bacterial small subunit ribosomal RNA", at positions 97 to 476 of the family's 1533-position model. Lineage: Bacteria; Pseudomonadati; Thermodesulfobacteriota; Syntrophia; Syntrophales; Smithellaceae. The record is from RNAcentral.